UCGCUUUGGCAGCAUGUAUACAAAAAUUCUAAUGAUACAGAGAAGAUUAGCAUGGCCCCCACACAAGUAUGACAUGCAGAUUUGUAAAGCAUCACAUACUGUA
Small nuclear RNA from Phyllostomus discolor (pale spear-nosed bat), 103 nucleotides. Lineage: Eukaryota; Metazoa; Chordata; Mammalia; Chiroptera; Phyllostomidae. The record is from RefSeq and is a predicted model, not a curated record.